AACGCUAGCUACAGGCUUAACACAUGCAAGUCGAGGGGCAGCAUGGUCUUAGCUUGCUAAGGCUGAUGGCGACCGGCGCACGGGUGAGUAACACGUAUCCGACCUGCCGUCUACUCUUGGCCAGCCUUCUGAAAGGAAGAUUAAUCCAGGAUGGGAUCAUGAGUUCACAUGUCCGCAUGAUUAAAGGUAUUUUCCGGUAGACGAUGGGGAUGCGUUCCAUUAGAUAGUAGGCGGGGUAACGGCCCACCUAGUCAACGAUGGAUAGGGGUUCUGAGAGGAAGGUCCCCCACAUUGGAACUGAGACACGGUCCAAACUCCUACGGGAGGCAGCAGUGAGGAAUAUUGGUCAAUGGGCGAUGGCCUGAACCAGCCAAGUAGCGUGAAGGAUGACUGCCCUAUGGGUUGUAAACUUCUUUUAUAAAGGAAUAAAGUCGGGUAUGCAUACCCGUUUGCAUGUACUUUAUGAAUAAGGAUCGGCUAACUCCGUGCCAGCAGCCGCGGUAAUACGGAGGAUCCGAGCGUUAUCCGGAUUUAUUGGGUUUAAAGGGAGCGUAGAUGGAUGUUUAAGUCAGUUGUGAAAGUUUGCGGCUCAACCGUAAAAUUGCAGUUGAUACUGGAUGUCUUGAGUGCAGUUGAGGCAGGCGGAAUUCGUGGUGUAGCGGUGAAAUGCUUAGAUAUCACGAAGAACUCCGAUUG
This 696-nucleotide ribosomal RNA is filed under the name uncultured Bacteroidales bacterium. RNAcentral describes it as "bacterial SSU rRNA". It matches the Rfam family "Bacterial small subunit ribosomal RNA", at positions 32 to 715 of the family's 1533-position model. Lineage: Bacteria; Pseudomonadati; Bacteroidota; Bacteroidia; Bacteroidales. The record is from RNAcentral.